GGGAUCGAAACUUAAACAUGGCGGUGCUUUGGGAGAGCUCUGGGGAUCGCCCCGUGGCGGCCCGCGAGUCUAGGCAGAGGGAGGGAGCGCGGUGGGGGCAGUUGCGGGCCCUGCUCUGCGCGCCGCGCAGCGUGCCUCGUGGAGUACAAUGCUUUGAAUCCCUGGUUUGUCAGCUUGAACGUCACGAGUGCCAAAAAUAGAUAGCUGAACAUUUGCUCAGCCCAGGACGGCGUCGAAAUGAACUCUCCUGCCUACACUCAACCCGUUUGGAAAUCUGUACAGACCGCAUAUAUUUUCCCUUCUGAAGCAGCCGGUGGGGCUGCAGACAGACCUCCCUUCAUCCCCUGCCACAGAGAAAGGCAGAAAAAUAAAUCUCCCCUUUCUCUGUGCCUGAGCAAAAGAAUUCAUCCCUGCAGCCAGAGAGGAAGACUUUGCCUUUUCCAGUGCCACAGAUAAAUGUGUAAACAAAGACAUUUCCUGUGCUGGUACAAAGAAAUAAACACUUUCCCUAGCCCCUCCUGUCGCACAGAGAAAACAAUCCUACCUUUUCCCGCCCACGCCCACCCAACCUUUUCCCUUCACCGCAGCAGCAGGCGAGCUUUGUUCCCUCGAUAUCCCCCAGAUGUACCCAGGCACCCCAAAUUUCCCUUCCCUUCACUGUCAGGGCUUUAAAUGCUGCUUUCUGGUGUCUCUUGGUAUUUUCCUAUUGUUUUCACAAACAGCGUGUGCGCAUCAAAGGUAUCUAAAUAACUUUCAGCGUCAGUGUUCUUUGUGAGAUACCCUCAACAUUCAGGGAAUGGUGGAGGAAAAGGGCUUGCAGGAUUUCUUACUUCACUUAAAGGAUGUGUGUUCUCUGACUGUCAAGUCACAGACGGCUUCAUGCAUGUUCUGGGAUUAGUUACAACUAAACAUGGAGAUAAGGGAAAGCUUGCAUCCUAUUUCAAAACCCUUCCAGUCAGACAGACACCUAAACAGCCUUGCACAUGGGAAGGUGCUAGCUCAGCCGAACGCAGGCUGUUCACCACAGUGGCCACUUGAAGAAGAGGGGGAAGAAGUUGGGCUGCGGAUGGGAUCAGAAAGCUGCUCACCACAAGGAAAAAGGAAGAAUGCAUCUGUCCUGAUGAGGCUUAGGAUGGGCUGUUACAGAUCCUGGGGAUGUAGAUGGAACAUCCUGAUGCCGCUUUGCUCAUAACAGAAGGAGGACCUGAGAUGAGAGUGCCUCAGAAGUACCAGACAUUUUGAAUGUGAGAACUGCCCUGGGAGACUCAGUCUCACUGCUGAGGUGAAGGGAAUGAACUAUGUGGAUCUCUGGGAAUCUCCAGUCACACACGAAUGACACACAAAGUUGACAGCUAAGCUUGAAUGAACAUUAACUGUUCUUGCUUCUGGAGAAUAUUUUGCCACAUUUUGCCUGCUGCUUGCAAAUUGUAUUGUGAUUGCUGCUGGGUAGAACAACCUUUGCAUCAAUUGGAAAGAUCAGGCUGUGGUGAUUAUUGAGAAAAAUGACAAUGCGAAAAAAAAGUUAUAAAAAAACACCAACCAAGGCACGUUAUUGAAUCUGCCUGACUGCUAGCUUACUUUCCACUCUCCAUAGCAGAAAAUAAAUAUGUAACUCAGAAAUUAACAGUAGAUACACAAAUCGUGCCUCCCAGAGCUAUUAGCCAUUUAUUUCUGAGCAUAAUCUCAUUUAUUUUUAUAACUCUUACCUUGAUUCCAAAUGAAAUGCGUGAUGUUGUAACUAACUUCAUCCUGAUCUCACAGCUAAUCUACAUUGCCUUUGUAUGCAACAUGAUUUAGCUGGAGAGGAUUAUUUUGUUCCGAUAAUGGUAAAACUGGUAAUAAUAUUCUGCAUAUUCACCACGGUGUUUCCCCUGAAACAUGGGACCAACUGAUUCCAUUCAGUGCUUCUCAUUCACAUCUGAUCCUAUUUCAUUUUACUCUGUCAGGGAUACUCUAGUUCCUAAUGACACCAGCACCAGAGGUUUUAGGCACUGCAUUAAAACAUAGGCAGCUGAGAGGAGAAACACUUUGCUGCCUCUGUCACAGACCGAAAGAGAUACAGAGCAUAAAAGGUGGGGCAAAGCCAGGCUCAGUGAGAUUAUUCAUGUGACUGUGUCAAUGGAACUGGAUCUGCCCGAGUGCCUUUGUAUUCUAUUGGAUGAAAGGAGUUACGCUCAGGUGAAUGUUACUUAUUAGGAUGGAAUCCAUUUCUUUUGUUCUUGAUUAUUCCAAAACACUUCUGGCAGCACAACAGUAAAUUCAAAAGUGAAUAAAUUCAUUUGUUUGAUGUUCAGGGCUGAACACUGAGAAAUACAUAAGUUUCAUUUUGGUCAGGUUAAAGGUUAGAUGUAUUUUUCUUUAUGUCACUGUUUACCUGGCCAGUGAAAUAAAAUCUGUGUUUACACAAGAUUAAGUAUCAGCUUAGUAUAUGUUUUGUAUGAUAUUUAAUGUAUCAGAGCCACACUUUAAAGCUAUUGAGAGUAAAGGC
Long non-coding RNA from Numida meleagris (helmeted guineafowl), 2488 nucleotides. RefSeq lists it as uncharacterized. Lineage: Eukaryota; Metazoa; Chordata; Aves; Galliformes; Numididae. The transcript is spliced from 6 exons. The record is from RefSeq and is a predicted model, not a curated record.